GGCCAGACCUUCUGGUAGAGCACAGUUAAAAGUAACAUAAUUCUGGGCCUUUAUAAUCUGAGGGAAAUGGCUCCAGUUGGCAGUCUUCUUGUUAACAUAUGAAGCCCAAACGUGGGAAAUGGUUGGCAAAGAAUAUUUUCACAUAAAAAAAAGAAUAUGAAAAGAUAUAAAACUGGAUUAUUCAUUUAGCUCUGAAAAAUCUCAAAAAGAUAUAGUAAAAUACUAUAUAACUGGACAAAACCUGAAGAACCUAUAGAGGAUUUAUGUGAAAACAGGCUUCAAGGAUGAACUGUUACAUGCUCACCAGUUUGCUUAAGUUCGAUCAACCUUUUCUUAAAGUAAGAUAUUUGUGGACUUCUAGGAACUAGCGAUUAGCAGGUGUCCUAAAAAGAUUUUUGAGCUGAUUCCCUCAUAAGUAGCCCUAUAUGCUCUUGAAGAUUCUUACCCUUCCUCUAGUGAUCCUAAGGGAGGAAUGAGGAGUGCUCUUUAGGGUGGCAACCUGCCCUGGCAUGUCUGGGACUGAGGUGGUCCCCUUGGAUGCAAAACUUUGUGAGUGCUAAACCCAGGAAAGCCCAGGCCCACACAGCAAGGAGGAGCUGAUAGCCCUGGCUAUUCUUGUGACUUAACCUCACCUUAAACAUUGUACUAGUUUCAAUUAAGUUCAAUUGCCUUACGGCACGUGUCCUCCGGUCACUUAUUACUGUGGAUGGAAUGUGAGAUUUAAGACAAAUAAUAGCUAAUGGCACCAACGUGCUCUUGGUAGUGAGACUAACAGUAAUCCAGGAAAGAUACCCGGUGGUUGAAUGAAACAGAAGAGGCAACUAGACAGUGAAGUUCUUCAGAACCUGUGUGUAUAUGUUCUUAAUUCCGGUUGUCCCUGGCCAUCAUCACAUGACAGAAUGUUACAUGAUUCACACCACUUUCAAAACCUUUCUGGGACUUCUUACGUGCAAAGGAGCUGUUUGCCUCUUGUACCUCACGCUGACCCUUUCUGGAGACCUGGCAUGCUUUAGGGAAGCUUCACCAGUAAGAACAACGGAUCACAAACGAGGCCCGUGUGACGCUGGUUCCCUAAUGCAAGAGCGGAGAGCGGAGAAAGUUGAAGGAGAAGCGCUCUUCCGGUUCCCGGGCCCCCUGCCCCGUGCACGCAGGGCCGCGCGGCGACGCGGAC
Molecule: long non-coding RNA, 1171 nt
Filed under: Bos indicus x Bos taurus (hybrid cattle)
Lineage: Eukaryota; Metazoa; Chordata; Mammalia; Artiodactyla; Bovidae
Description: lncRNA (ENSBIXG00000009982.1)
Source: RNAcentral